UAGGCAAUAGAGCAAGACUCUGUAUCAAAAAAGAGAGAGGGCACGGAGGAAAUUAUUAUACACCGUGGGUAGCAGUUUGGCAUUCCUAAAUCCCCAUACUCUCCCAUCCAGCAAUUCCACCUGCGGGUACCCAUCCUUGAGAAAUGCUCACAUGGGCACAUAGAGGUGUGUGGGAAGGAUGUUCUCCGCCACACUGCGUCUGACAAGGAAAAACUGGAAACAAUCUAUGGAAUCUUACAUAACCAUGGAAUUUACAGAGCAAGUAGAAAGAAUAGGUAGAUCUCUACAUACUGACAAAAAAUUCCAAGACCCGUUUUUAAGCAUAAAACGUCAAGUUAUGUAAUGCAUAAAACAUACGUAUUUGUAAAAGUUUAAGGCGAAAUCUUACAAACAUAUAUCAUAACGUGCACACACUUGUCAAAUAAAUGCAAAGAAAAAUACACACAAACUGACAACAGUUCUUAUUUUGUGAGAAAGGGACUGGUAAAGAAAAAAGGGAGGAGACGGAAAAAAAAAAUCAAAGAGGAUCUGUCUUCCACACUCCCCACCCUCACCACCAAGGAGAACAUAAAGCUAAGAAAGAUUUGUCUUGUUUAAAAUUGUUACAUAAUUUUGUUACAAGACUUUAUGCACAGACUAUAACUAGAAUAUUUUUAAAAUACAUUUUUAAAACAAGCUCAACUUUACCAAAUUUAAUCCAUCUUCCUCCCUGCGCCCCGACCCGCACUUUCUAAUUCCUAUGACUAACAAAACCUUUCAAUUCCUUCUAUCCUUGUAACAGAACUAAAAAAAAAAGUAUAAUUUCAAUUUUGUGUUUUUGAGGAGAGGGUAUAUAAAGGAGUUUGAAUGUUUUAAUCAUAUCAAAAGCCUAUCAAAAGCUUAUCGAGGGAUGGGUUUGUUUGUAUUUUAAGGAGCAGGUGUCAAUUUUAUAAUAAGUAUUGAUUAAGGUUCUUAGUUUUGAUCCAUUCCAGGGAUGUGAAAAACCAAAGAGGUGGCUCCCGGCAAGACCCAGAGCAGGGUGUGGUCUGGGAGGACAGGGAUGGUAGCGGGGGUGGCGGCUCACACGCAUUCAGGGGAGAAAACAGCAGCAGUGGCCGCGUCGAACUCGCAGCGCCCGAGGAGCUACCAGGUGCCGCGGGCGGGGCCUCCUUUUUAGCUGAUUGGGACACGCAGCCUCGAAGGCCUGGAGGACGUAAUCCCAGCUGGGGUCUGGGAACGGGCAACGCCAUCUUGUACGGAAGCUCCUGGGGCAGGUGAUGCCUACCCAGUCUGUCUCCUCUGUUGAACAAAGAAUCUGUUAAAAUUGGAAGGGCUUAACGUCUUCAGAAAAGUGACGCAUUUGUUUCUGGGAUGGUAAGGUUCAGCAAAGUCUAUGUCAUUCUCUAAUCCUUUUGAUCCAGCGGAUUCUUUGGAGGAAUUUAAAUACAUACUGGAUUUUGCAACCAGGUUUGCAAGAGGAAAAUGCAAAGGUGACUUCUGGGCCUGUUGCCGGGGGAGGGUAGGGGAUGGACAGCUGACAUCUAGUCACAGAGGAAAGAACACAGAAAGAGAUCUCCAGUUAAAGCCGAUAGAUUGAACCACACACAACCCACCUCCUUCUAAAAUCCCUGUAGAACAAUGGUUUAAAAAAGCACUUUAACAUAAAACUUCAAAAUCAAAAAGAUAAGGAAAAUGAUGAAAACCACUCAGGUAAGAAGAGAGGAUAUUUAUGCCGAGGCUGCUGUCAUUAGGAGUCCGCCAACAUGCCACCAUACUUUGGUGAGACUUGAAGGCAGGCAGGGAGUGGAAACACUUUAUGCUGUAGUGAAAAAAGGGGAAGGCUUCAGUAUACUCUGACUGGAGGUCACUGUCAUGGGGAAACUGCAGGUGGGCUAACUAGAAGCUGGGCUUCUUGUGUAAUGGUUUGGCUUUCUCUGGUUGGUCCUGUGUUGAAAAUAGGGGCAAAAUAUAGGGCAACUGACUCAUUGACCAAGCCGUGCCCAGGCUGGCCGAUUGCGGAGGUUGUGGGUCAGAGUUCUGUUGUCAUAUAUGGUCUGGCUACUGUCUGUUUAUAUAAUCCGUCUGUCAGAGAACAGUAGAGGAGAUCAAAUUAUUACCAUUUUGGAAGCUGGAAAGCAGGAUAGUGCGAACUGAAUUAGCAGACUUGCCCUCUAUCAAAGGGGAUGGCCAAAAGCAAGCCAGAUUUGCCCCAGAAAACCACCAAAAGUUCAAGAAUUGGCAGCACCAGGUACCCCCAGAAGCAGGGAUAAAGUGGGGGCUUGAAUUGGACAGUUGGUUCAAAGUCUAUUUCAGAAGCAUUAGAACACUGGAUUCCUUCCCCAGCUCCCAAAUGACUGCCUGGUGCAAGACUCAGGACUGAUUCCCUGGAGAGGGUAAAGCAGAGGGUUCUUUGUCUAGUUAAGGAUGGGGUGCCAUAACAAACAUGCCCAUUCAGUGAAAAUACCUACUUUCAAGACUUCUGCUUGACUCCCCUAAAUCAGCAGCCAAUGUUAGAAGCCAAGUGUUAAAGUUUUUCGGAUAAUUUUGCUAUGAACCUAUAGGGAAAUUUCAUUACCAUCUCAUAGCAAGGCCUAUAGUAUAAGAGCAGGCCUAUAGUAGCAUAUGGGGGAAAGUCUGAAAGACUUUGAAAUGGACCAAAAGAUUAUUGAGAAAUGGAAAACUGCAUUGUUUUAAGUAUCCCCUUCCAGCUUAUCAGAUUCUGUGGGGUUUAUACCUUUCAUUGUCUUUGAGGUAUUUAACAAUUCUGAAGAGAUGGACUCUAACUUGUAGAAAACUAAGAGUAACAUAAAUAAUUAUUGUCUUUAGAUAUACAAAUAAAUUCUGUUCUGAGAAGUUUCUGUUGACUUCCCUUUCUCACUGUUCUAUUCAGAACAUUGAUUUCAGGUGGGGUGUAGAGGCUCAUGCCUAUAAUCCCUGCACUUUGGGAGGCCAAAGCAGGGGGAUUGCUUGAGCC
This is a long non-coding RNA of Cercocebus atys (sooty mangabey), 2953 nucleotides long. RefSeq lists it as uncharacterized. The transcript is spliced from 3 exons. The record is from RefSeq and is a predicted model, not a curated record. NCBI's taxonomy places the organism in Eukaryota, Metazoa, Chordata, Mammalia, Primates, Cercopithecidae.